This 659-nucleotide ribosomal RNA is filed under the name Stutzerimonas stutzeri. RNAcentral describes it as "bacterial SSU rRNA". It matches the Rfam family "Bacterial small subunit ribosomal RNA", at positions 30 to 684 of the family's 1533-position model. Lineage: Bacteria; Pseudomonadati; Pseudomonadota; Gammaproteobacteria; Pseudomonadales; Pseudomonadaceae. The record is from RNAcentral.
CGGGUCUUGCCCGCAAGGCCUACACAUGCAAGUCGAGCGGAUGACGGGAGCUUGCUCCUUGAUUCAGCGGCGGACGGGUGAGUAAUGCCUAGGAAUCUGCCUGGUAGUGGGGGACAACGUUCCGAAAGGAGCGCUAAUACCGCAUACGUCCUACGGGAGAAAGUGGGGGAUCUUCGGACCUCACGCUAUCAGAUGAGCCUAGGUCGGAUUAGCUAGUUGGUGAGGUAAAGGCUCACCAAGGCGACGAUCCGUAACUGGUCUGAGAGGAUGAUCAGUCACACUGGAACUGAGACACGGUCCAGACUCCUACGGGAGGCAGCAGUGGGGAAUAUUGGACAAUGGGCGAAAGCCUGAUCCAGCCAUGCCGCGUGUGUGAAGAAGGUCUUCGGAUUGUAAAGCACUUUAAGUUGGGAGGAAGGGCAGUAAGUUAAUACCUUGCUGUUUUGACGUUACCGACAGAAUAAGCACCGGCUAACUCUGUGCCAGCAGCCGCGGUAAUACAGAGGGUGCAAGCGUUAAUCGGAAUUACUGGGCGUAAAGCGCGCGUAGGUGGUUCGUUAAGUUGGAUGUGAAAGCCCCGGGCUCAACCUGGGAACUGCAUCCAAAACUGGCGAGCUAGAGUAUGGUAGAGGGUGGUGGAAUUUCCUGUGUAGCGGUGA